GACGAACGCUGGCGGCGUGCUUAACACAUGCAAGUCGAACGGAAAGGCCCUGCUUUUGUGGGGUGCUCGAGUGGCGAACGGGUGAGUAACACGUGAGUAACCUGCCCUUGACUUUGGGAUAACUUCAGGAAACUGGGGCUAAUACCGGAUAGGAGCUCCUGCUGCAUGGUGGGGGUUGGAAAGUUUCGGCGGUUGGGGAUGGACUCGCGGCUUUCAGCUUGUUGGUGGGGUAGUGGCUUACCAAGGCUUUGACGGGUAGCCGGCCUGAGAGGGUGACCGGCCACAUGGGGACUGAGAUACGGCCCAGACUCCUACGGGAGGCAGCAGUGGGGAAUAUUGCACAAUGGGCGGAAGCCUGAUGCAGCAACGCCGCGUGCGGGAUGACGGCCUUCGGGUUGUAAACCGCUUUCGCCUGUGACGAAGCGUGAGUGACGGUAAUGGGUAAAGAAGCACCGGCUAACUACGUG
This 467-nucleotide ribosomal RNA is filed under the name uncultured bacterium. RNAcentral describes it as "partial 16S ribosomal RNA". It matches the Rfam family "Bacterial small subunit ribosomal RNA", at positions 28 to 507 of the family's 1533-position model. The record is from RNAcentral.